This 77-nucleotide transfer RNA is filed under the name Thiothrix sp. Its description in RNAcentral is "tRNA-Ala". It matches the Rfam family "tRNA". Rfam says of the family: Transfer RNA (tRNA) molecules are approximately 80 nucleotides in length. Lineage: Bacteria; Pseudomonadati; Pseudomonadota; Gammaproteobacteria; Thiotrichales; Thiotrichaceae. The record is from RNAcentral.
GGGGCUAUAGCUCAGUUUGGGAGAGCGCUACACUUGCACUGUAGAGGUCAGCGGUUCGAUCCCGCUUAGCUCCACCA